Molecule: non-coding RNA, 252 nt
Organism: Vicia faba (fava bean)
Lineage: Eukaryota; Viridiplantae; Streptophyta; Magnoliopsida; Fabales; Fabaceae
Source: the annotation of a GenBank genome assembly
AUGUUUCAAAUAUUCAAAACUAAGUGUCAUUUUGCUGUACUUACCGCUAUCCUUACUGGUUCUCUCUAUUACGUCGAUGUCUCUCCUAAAGAUCCUACCUAUAUUGUUGCGCCGUUUUUACAAUCUCACACAAGUCGUCAAGAUUUGAAAAAGAUCUUCGAAACCUGGUAUGAGAAAAAGCAAGUGACGAAAAUCUAUUCACCACUUCUGGAAGAACUAUUGGCUCUCUAUCUCGAUUUUGAGUGGAUCUAA